Molecule: ribosomal RNA, 466 nt
Filed under: uncultured bacterium
Lineage: Bacteria
Description: bacterial SSU rRNA
Rfam family: Bacterial small subunit ribosomal RNA
Source: RNAcentral
GGGCCCGCACAAGCGGUGGAGCAUGUGGUUUAAUUCGACGCAACGCGAAGAACCUUACCUGGGCUCGAACGGCCGUUCAACGAUCGUGGAAACACGGUUACUCCGCAAGGGGGUACGGUCGAGGUGCUGCAUGGCUGUCGUCAGCUCGUGUCGUGAGAUGUUGGGUUAAGUCCCGCAACGAGCGCAACCCUUGUCCUGUGUUGGCAUGCCGCAAGGCGCAACUCUCAGGAGACCGCCAGCGAUAAGUUGGAGGAAGGUGGGGAUGACGUCAAGUCAUCAUGGCCUUUAUGUCCAGGGCCACACACGUGCUACAAUGGGCGGUACAAAGCGCAGCCAACCCGCGAGGGGGAGCUAAUCGCCAAAAACCGUCCUCAGUUCGGAUCGCAGGCUGCAACUCGCCUGCGUGAAGCUGGAAUCGCUAGUAAUGCUAUAUCAGAACGAUAGCGUGAAUACGUUCCCGGGCCUU